AACACUUUUACCAAGAAACUCUAAAAGUAUUUCAGAUGUAAAUUAAAGAAUUGUAUUUGAGGAUCUUCUGUUUAAAUUCUAAUCUGAAGGUGGAUAUUACUAUCCC
This is a long non-coding RNA of Neomonachus schauinslandi (Hawaiian monk seal), 106 nucleotides long. RefSeq lists it as uncharacterized. The transcript is spliced from 3 exons. The record is from RefSeq and is a predicted model, not a curated record. Lineage: Eukaryota; Metazoa; Chordata; Mammalia; Carnivora; Phocidae.